RNAcentral lists this ribosomal RNA (861 nucleotides) under uncultured bacterium. RNAcentral describes it as "SSU rRNA". It matches the Rfam family "Bacterial small subunit ribosomal RNA", at positions 524 to 1381 of the family's 1533-position model. The record is from RNAcentral.
UACGGAGGGUGCAAGCGUUACUCGGAAUCACUGGGCGUAAAGGGUGCGUAGGCUGGCUUCUAAGUCAGAUGUGAAAUCCAAUGGCUUAACCAUUGAACUGCAUUUGAAACUGGGAGCCUAGAGUUCAGAAGGGGCAGAUGGAAUUAGUGGUGUAGGGGUAAAAUCCGUAGAUAUCACUAGGAAUAUCAAAAGCGAAGGCGAUCUGCUGGGAUGAUACUGACGCUGAGGCACGAAAGCGUGGGGAGCAAACAGGAUUAGAUACCCUGGUAGUCCACGCCCUAAACGAUGAAUGCUAGUCGUCGGGGUACUCGUUACUUCGGUGAUGCACUUAACAGAUUAAGCAUUCCGCCUGGGGAGUACGGUCGCAAGAUUAAAACUCAAAGGAAUAGACGGGGACCCGCACAAGUGGUGGAGCAUGUGGUUUAAUUCGAAGAUACACGAAGAACCUUACCUGGCCUUGACAUGGUAGGAACCCUUAAGAGAUUAGGGGGUGCUAGCUUGCUAGAACCUACACACGGGUGCUGCACGGCUGUCGUCAGCUCGUGUCGUGAGAUGUUGGGUUAAGUCCCGCAACGAGCGCAACCCUCGUCCUUAGUUGCUAACAGUUCGGCUGAGCACUCUAAGGAGACUGCCUUCGCAAGGAGGAGGAAGGUGAGGACGACGUCAAGUCAUCAUGGCCCUUACGGCCAGGGCUACACACGUGCUACAAUGGGGCGUACAAAGAGCUGCAAUACCGCGAGGUGGAGCCAAUCUCUUAAAGCGUCUCUCAGUUCGGAUUGUUCUCUGCAACUCGAGAACAUGAAGCUGGAAUCACUAGUAAUCGUAGAUCAGUUAUGCUACGGAGAAUACGUUCCCGGGUCU